Molecule: ribosomal RNA, 496 nt
Filed under: uncultured bacterium
Lineage: Bacteria
Description: partial 16S ribosomal RNA
Rfam family: Bacterial small subunit ribosomal RNA
Source: RNAcentral
AUGCACGCUGGCGGCGUGCCUCAUACCUGCCAGUCGAGCGAACGGACGAGAAGCUUGCUUCUCUGAUGUUAGCGGCGGACGGGUGAGUAACACGUGGAUAACCUACCUAUAAGACUGGGAUAACUUCGGGAAACCGGAGCUAAUACCGGAUAAUAUUUUGAACCGCAUGGUUCAAAAGUGAAAGACGGUCUUGCUGUCACUUAUAGAUGGAUCCGCGCUGCAUUAGCUAGUUGGUAAGGUAACGGCUUACCAAGGCAACGAUGCAUAGCCGACCUGAGAGGGUGAUCGGCCAAACUGGAACUGGGACACGGUCCAGACUCCUACGGGAGGCAGCAGUAGGGAAUCUUCCGCAAUGGGCGAAAGCCUGACGGAGCAACGCCGCGUGAGUGAUGAAGGUCUUCGGAUCGUAAAACUCUGUUAUUAGGGAAGAACAUAUGUGUAAGUAACUGUGCACAUCUUGACGGUACCUAAUCAGAAAGCCACGGCUAACUACGUG